GGCACGGUGGUGCAGUGGGUAGCACUGUUGCCUCACAGCAAGAAGGUCACGGGUUCGAAUCUUGGAUUGGGGCCU
RNAcentral lists this transfer RNA (75 nucleotides) under Anguilla anguilla (European eel). RNAcentral describes it as "tRNA-OTHER". Lineage: Eukaryota; Metazoa; Chordata; Actinopteri; Anguilliformes; Anguillidae. The record is from RNAcentral.